CCUACGGGUGGCAGCAGUGAGGAAGAUUGGUCAAUGGGCGCGAGCCUGAACCAGCCAAGUAGCGUGAAGGAUGAAUGCCCUACGGGUUGUCAACUUCUUUUAUAAAGGAUUAAAGUGAGGCACGUGUGCCUUUUUUUCUGGACUUUAUACAUACGACUCGGCUAACUACGUGCCAGAAUCCGCGGUAAUACGGAGGUGGAAAGCGUUGUCCGGCUUUACUGGGUGUAAAGGGCGUGCAGCAGGGAAGACAAGUCAGAUGUGAAAUCCCGCUGCUCAACCGCGGAACUGCAUUUGAAACUGUUUUUCUUGAGUACCGGAGAGGUCAUCGGAAUCACUGUUGUAGCGGUGAAAUGCGUAGAUAUAAGGAAGAACACCAGUGGCGAAGGCGGAUGACUGGACGGCAACUGACGGUGAGGCGCGAAAGCGUGGGGAGCAAACAGGAUUAGAUACCCCUGUAGUC
Molecule: ribosomal RNA, 460 nt
Filed under: uncultured bacterium
Lineage: Bacteria
Description: partial 16S ribosomal RNA
Rfam family: Bacterial small subunit ribosomal RNA
Source: RNAcentral